Molecule: ribosomal RNA, 422 nt
Filed under: Segatella copri
Lineage: Bacteria; Pseudomonadati; Bacteroidota; Bacteroidia; Bacteroidales; Prevotellaceae
Description: bacterial SSU rRNA
Rfam family: Bacterial small subunit ribosomal RNA
Source: RNAcentral
UUUUACAAUGGAGAGUUUGAUCCUGGCUCAGGAUGAACGCUAGCUACAGGCUUAACACAUGCAAGUCGAGGGGAAACGACAUCGAAAGCUUGCUUUUGGUGGGCGUCGACCGGCGCACGGGUGAGUAACGCGUAUCCAACCUGCCCACCACUUGGGGAUAACCUUGCGAAAGUAAGACUAAUACCCAAUGAUAUCUCUAGAAGACAUCUGAAAGAGAUUAAAGAUUUAUCGGUGAUGGAUGGGGAUGCGUCUGAUUAGCUUGUUGGCGGGGUAACGGCCCACCAAGGCAACGAUCAGUAGGGGUUCUGAGAGGAAGGUCCCCCACAUUGGAACUGAGACACGGUCCAAACUCCUACGGGAGGCAGCAGUGAGGAAUAUUGGUCAAUGGGCGAGAGCCUGAACCAGCCAAGUAGCGUGCAGGA